AAAGUUUCAAACAGAUUACAAAUCUUCAACAACAAAAUCAUAUUUCAAUAAGAUCUGAACUGCAUGAAGAAGAAGAGCGUCUAAGAUCAAGCAACGUGAAAAGCUCAACAGUUUUCCAGACCGUGACGAGGCCAGUAAGAUGGAUGUUCAGCUGUUUCACUAAUAACUGGAAUGGCACUGGAAACCAGAACCCCAG
Long non-coding RNA from Xiphophorus couchianus (Monterrey platyfish), 196 nucleotides. RefSeq lists it as uncharacterized. The record is from RefSeq and is a predicted model, not a curated record. The transcript has 3 exons. Lineage: Eukaryota; Metazoa; Chordata; Actinopteri; Cyprinodontiformes; Poeciliidae.